UUUUGAUUCGCUUAUUUUUUUAAAGUAUUCCAGAGUUGUCGGGAGUAUUAGUAUGUGAUGAUUUAAAUCCAAAAUAUGGUGAGUUUGUACUGUUUUGAGAAGGGGGAGUGGAGUAUUUUUUUUGGAUUUUAUUUGACUUUGAAUGAGGGAUUAGGUAGUCAUGAGUAUGAGUUUUCUCGGUCUUUAUAUUUUCUGUUUUCAACGGUAAAAUUUCUGUUUUUGAUGUUAAGUUCGAAGGAUGACGAUGUUGAAUGAUAUUACGAAUGUCUAUAAAAUGACAUGAGAAACACGAUAUGACAUGAUAUGACAUGACAUGUCACGAAUCUCAUGAUGAGAUAAACAAUAUGACAAGAAUUAGGCUACAAAUAGUCGUUAAAUAGUUUGUUUGAUUGUAGUUAUUGAUGCUUUUAUGGUUGUUUAUAGGUGAUAAGAAUGAAUAUUGGUAUAUUAUUCCUUAUGUGGAAUCAUAGGUACAGAUUUCCAUACUGAGUCAGUUGAGACUCACCCAUUUUGCUUUGCUAUGUUUUGUCGUGUUAUAAAAUUUAUAGGAUGGGGACGUUGAUGAAGACACGUUGCAUGGAUACAGAAGGGUGGAGCAUAGUUAGCAUCAUGAGUUAGUGGUGCUUCAUUCCGAUGAAUAUUAUGAACACCGUUGGUGCAUGUUUAUUAUUUACAACAAUGUUCUAGAGUCUUACUAGUAAAUGAUGGUGUUCUAGACUUUAUUCACAAAUUUUGAACUUUUAUUUUAUUGACAUAUUAUUAUGUUGAUUCUCGACAUUAGGG
This 783-nucleotide long non-coding RNA is filed under the name Zostera marina. RNAcentral describes it as "long non-coding RNA (ZMAR_LNC000836)". The record is from RNAcentral. Lineage: Eukaryota; Viridiplantae; Streptophyta; Magnoliopsida; Alismatales; Zosteraceae.